Molecule: ribosomal RNA, 505 nt
Filed under: uncultured bacterium
Lineage: Bacteria
Description: SSU rRNA
Rfam family: Bacterial small subunit ribosomal RNA
Source: RNAcentral
AGGACGAACGCUGGCGGCGUGCCUAACACAUGCAAGUGGAGCGACGAACCAGGCUUCGGCCUGGGGCAAAGCCGCGAACGGGUGAGUAACACGUGGGUAACCUGCCCUGAUGAUUGGGACAACCCGAGGAAACUCGGGCUAAUACCAAAUGUGACCUCCGGCCAUAAGGCCGCUGGGGAAAGAAAGCUUCGGCCUCCGCAUCGGGAUGGGCCCGCGGCCCAUUAGCUUGUUGGUGAGGUAACGGCUCACCAAGGCUAUGACGGGUAGCUGGUCGUGAGAGGACGACCAGCCACACUGGAACUGAGACACGGUCCAGACACCUACGGGUGGCAGCAGUCGAGAAUUUUUCUCAAUGGGGGAAACCCUGAAGGAGCGACGCCGCGUGGAGGAUGAAGGUCUUCGGAUUGUAAACUCCUGUCAUUAGGGAACAAUUGCCAGCGAUUAACUGUCGCGGGCUUGAUAGUACCUGAAGAGGAAGAGACGGCUAACUCUGUGCCAGCAGCCG